Molecule: long non-coding RNA, 1797 nt
Organism: Gossypium raimondii (Peruvian cotton)
Lineage: Eukaryota; Viridiplantae; Streptophyta; Magnoliopsida; Malvales; Malvaceae
Exons: 9
Source: RefSeq, a predicted model, not a curated record
AUUUUUGGUUACCCGCUCGUUACUCCCUCUUCUUCUCAUCUCCAUCGCACGCCCUAAAUAACCCAAAUAAAAGUUUGUACUUAAUUCUUUUUCCCUUUUAAUCUCAAAAUUCCAUGAGUUCCUUCGUCCCAACAUCUCGUAAUACCGUUCAAAUCCCUAAACCUUUUCUUUUUCUCUCCUUGAAUUUAUAUAUAUAUGCAUAUUCAAGAACACCAGAAAAUUUAUCAAAAGUGGUUCAACUUUGCUGAUUCAGAUAAUGAUGGACGCAUUACUGGAAAUGAUGCAAUCAAGUUUUUUGGUAUGUCAAAUUUAUCGCGACCAGAUCUCAAACAGGUGUGGGCAACUACUGAUUCUAAGAGAUAGGGAUUUCUUAGUUUCAAAGAACUUAUUUUUGCUAUGCAGCUGGUUUCGCUGGCUCAAGAAGGUCAUCAAAUAUCACAUGAUUUCCUGAAUGGUGAUGGUAUUAUGAUUUAGCAUGUCCCUCUUUCUGAAUUGCAUGGUUUGAAUGUUUAUUUCAUUCUGAAAACUUUUGAGUAGACUUUGAGAAUAUUAGACCUCCUGUAAUGGAAGGCUUAGAUACAUUAAUCAUGAGAAAUAAACAAUCUUCAAAGUCAAGUAGCCUUGAAAGCAAUGGUAUGACUUUCUUGUUGUAACCUUUGAUGUUUACUCCGAUUUCACUAUCAUAUGUUAUUUUACAAGUUGGGGGCUUGCAGGUAGUUCUUCAAAUCAAAGAAGGUUUGUUUUGUCAUUUUAUAGUUGAUCUUCCUUUGCUGCUGAUACUCUUGUUACUACCAUUUUAGUCUAGGUAUAGGGUUUAGGGUUAGAAAUAAUUCCUUUAUUUAUAUCAAAUUCAUAUUUGUCUCUUUAUUUUACUUCCAUAACACUUACGUUUUUUAGCUUUGGUAUUUUUGUUGUUAAUGAUGGUAAUAUCUGUCUAAUUCCUUUACUUGAUCCUGUUUUAGUGUGUUUUUAUUUAUCUGCAUCCUUAGCAUGUGUAACUAAUCCUUUCUUGUGUAGAACAGAUAUCUUUGUCCUCUGUGACUUCAAUUAUAGACGGCUUAAAGAGAUUGUAUCUUCAGAAGUUGAAGCCUUUAGAAGUUACAUAUCAUUUUAAUGAUUUUGUAUCCCCAUUGUUGAUCAUGAAGAACAAUAUUUCCCAUGGGGACAUAGAAGAAGUUUAAUCAAUUUGCUUGCAAAAAACUCUUCAAGGUCUAUCUCUUUCAUCUUCUUAAUUAAUUGUUAAUCUUCCCAAUGGCCGCCUACCAAAGAAAACGAAGUUUUGCCAAUCAAACUAGGAGGAACUGAGGUAUCAACUAUUUGCAGUUGUGAAACAUUCCGGAUUCAGACCUACUUCUGGACACUAUGUUUGCUACAUUCGAUCCUCUCCUAAUAUGUGGCAUAAGAUGAAUGAUUCAAGGGUUACUUGUGUUGAAGAAGUUGUGCUGUCCCAGGAAGCCUACAUUUUGCUCUAUGCUAAACAGGGUAUACCUUGGUUUUCAACUGCAAUAGAAGUGCAAAAGCCUUGUGCAGACCCUGGAAUUUCUGAUUCUUCACCAAAGUCCUAGAUGACAUAGACUUUGCCUCCAAUCUUGAGGUGGAAAAGAGUGCCAAUUGCAGCGCCAAUGAAACUAAAGAUGUUGCUGAUAGAGCUUCAACUCAAUCCUCUUGUGAUGUGUAUAGUCAUAGGCAGGUUCAACUAGUCAGUUUAUUUCUCAUAUGUAUUAUUUAUUUUAGUUAUGAUUUUAAAUUUUUAUUUUAAUAUUUAUGACAACUUGAGUUCUAACUUUUGAAUUUUAA